CUGGUCUGGGACCUGAGAAGACUUCCUUCUUCCAGGCUCUGAGCAUCACCACUAAAAUCUCCAGGGUGCACCAUUGAAGUCCUAAGUGAUGUACAGCUGAUUAAGACUGGAGACAAAGUGGGAGCCAGUGAGCCCACCCUCCUGAACAUGUUCCCUAAUUUCCUUUGGGCUGAUCAUUCAACAGGUGUUUGACAGUGGCAGUAUCUACAACCCUGAAGUGCUUGACAUUACAGAGGAAGUUCUGCAUUCUCGCUUUCUGCCCCCUUCAAAUCAAGUGGUGGAUACACCACUGAGUCUCACGUCUUGCAUAGUCCUGGGUCAGCAUGUCUGUAGCAGUAUCCCCAAGCCAGCACCACUAGCCACACCACAAGAAUGACUUUUGUGUGAAGAUGUGCAGUUUUUGAACAACACAAAAAUUCUGGACAAGUGAUCCACAGCUGAAAUCCACAGAGCCUGAACUAAAGAAGAAAACCUCUUUUAACAGAGCCCUGACCCCAUGCUACAUCAGUGUCUUUCUAUCCCUCAAAUCUAUCAGUCACUUCACAUUCAAUGGCCUUGCAAUUCCACUGUCUUAAUACAACAUACUACGCUUCCUGGUUAUUCACUUACCAUAUGCCUUACACCCACCAUUUGAGCUCAUGAAGAAUGCAAACCUGUCAACUGUAUUCUCUCUUCUUAUCUAUCAAAACCUUUUUCAUAUUACAUCCUUUCCAAUAUAAUUUGGAAUUGAUGAAUAAAUGCCUAGACAUAAAUUCCCCAAGUUCCUAUAUUAUUUUAACACUAACCAGAAAAAUAUUUAUUUUAUGGCUGACUCCAUUUCAAAUAUACCCUUUCACUUUAUCCAUAU
Molecule: long non-coding RNA, 847 nt
Organism: Heterocephalus glaber (naked mole-rat)
Lineage: Eukaryota; Metazoa; Chordata; Mammalia; Rodentia; Bathyergidae
Source: Ensembl